RNAcentral lists this ribosomal RNA (301 nucleotides) under uncultured bacterium. RNAcentral describes it as "partial 16S ribosomal RNA". It matches the Rfam family "Bacterial small subunit ribosomal RNA", at positions 509 to 807 of the family's 1533-position model. The record is from RNAcentral.
CAGUCGCCGCGGGAAUACGUAGGGUGCAAGCGUUAAUCGGAAUUACUGGGCGUAAAGCGUGCGCAGGCGGUUCGUUAAGACAGAUGUGAAAUCCCCGGGCUUAACCUGGGAACUGCAUUUGUGACUGGCGGGCUAGAGUAUGGCAGAGGGGGGUAGAAUUCCACGUGUAGUAGUGAAAUGCGUAGAGAUGUGGAGGAAUACCGAUGGCGAAGGCAGCCCCCUGGGCCAAUACUGACGCUCAUGCACGGAAGCGUGGGGAGCAAACAGGAUUAGAUACCCCCGUAGUCCCUGUCUCUUAUAC